UCCUUGCUGGCUCAGACAGUAAAGAAUCUGCCUGCAAUGCAGGAGACCAGGGUUCAAUCCCUGGGUAAGGAA
This is a non-coding RNA of Bos taurus (domestic cattle), 72 nucleotides long. The record is from Rfam. NCBI's taxonomy places the organism in Eukaryota, Metazoa, Chordata, Mammalia, Artiodactyla, Bovidae.